RNAcentral lists this long non-coding RNA (2244 nucleotides) under Sorghum bicolor (sorghum). Its description in RNAcentral is "long non-coding RNA (SBIC_LNC012161)". Lineage: Eukaryota; Viridiplantae; Streptophyta; Magnoliopsida; Poales; Poaceae. The record is from RNAcentral.
CAUCACACACAAGGAAUUUUAGUAGACAAACUUUGAGCUCUCGGCCUCCUGCAGUCCAAAGAGAGUUUGGGAGAGUAGGAGAGUUUAGAAAGAAUAGAGAAGAGGAUAGAAAUUUGGGAGAGUGAGCAAGAGCUCAAGAGCUAGUGAAAGAGGGGUAGUGCUGCAAGAAUUCGUAGAGAGAACUUAGUGGAAGUGUUGUCCAACUAAGAAUUAAGAAAUCUAAUAUCAAGGGGAGGUUCUGUUGAAAUUCAAACUAGCAACUAGACUCAAUCUUGAAAGAACAACUGACCUCUAGAAGGCUAACCGCUAACCUUUGACUAACCCCUUGCACUAGUGUUGUUUUUUGUCUGUAAGCAUUUGUUUCAGGAUGAAGAGCUGGGCAAAGGGAAUCACCAAUAAUGUCUCAGGAAGGACCACAAGGAGCUCAUCCCGGUACGCCUCGUCAAGGGCCAGCUCUGACAUGAGCACCGAUCCUCUCGGCGACUCUCAACCACCAUCUUCCUCAGCUGCACAAAGGAUUCUCCUCACGGCAACUCACCUUGCCUUGAAGGAUGCAAGAGAAAAGAACAUCUACAAUAAAAUUGAAGAGGAGGAACUUCAUCCACACACCAGUCUUGGAUGAUGUAUUCCUCUGCGAAACAGGUAUGGCAACUGAACUAGACACUAUUUUCUAGUUUAUUGGUUGGAGUUCUUUUGCAUCUUUCAUUGAGUUAGGGACAAACCUUUUAGCCAUAGAAUUUCUAUGCAUCCUUCGACUCACCCAGAUAGGAGUUUAUUUUAGAUUGUUUACCUAAGAGUUCUAUUUAACAUGGAGAGUUCUUAGUAAUCUUUUAGGCUUUCCUUCAAAUACAGGUUUAGAUUUAACAGAAGCCUUAAAAGAUUUCGACACCCACAAAUUUUGGAUCAAAAUUUCUAAGGAACCUUUCUUCCAUAGCAAUCGUACUCGAGACAUAGAGCACCCUACACUUAGGUUCUUGCAUAAGUGGUUAGGAAUAGCUUUCUUCCCUCGAGAUGAUGCUAGUAAAAUUAGAGCUGUAGAUUUACAAUUAAUUUAUGCAGCAGUGAAGAAAAUAAGGGUGUCACAUGUCCAUGCUUUAGUAGAUCAUUGGUUAAGCAUUCCAGAAUAUAAAGUAGGAGAUGUAGCAAUUUGUUCCAUUAUUACUCGUUUAGCUAUUGAGCUUAAGUUACUUGAAGGUGACUCUUUGGAUUUUAUUGAUGCACAUAGACAAAUUUAUGGAUAUGAACAUUUUAAUCAUGUGCACCUUGUAAAUACAAUAAAAGGGGAUCUACACAUGACAUAUGGGGACGCCAAGCUCCGGUUACCUAACUCAGAGAUGGCACUAUAUUCUAUCCAAACUAUACAUAUUAAAUUUUAGGCACGAGCAGUGAACAGGAGAAGAGCUCAGGGGGAGACUUCUGAGAGGGCACCUCAGAGGACAGCCUCUGAGAGAUUUGCUCAUCAACACGAGCCAUUCUGGCUUGGUGCUGACCCCACUCACGAAGCACUGACGCACACCGGCUAUGACUAAUGGUAGGCACGCUAGCGCCAUGCACUGAAUCCUAGAAUGUAUUUUCCGUUCCAUCCUGCCUACCAUCCAUAUGGGUACUAUCCACCACCACCAUUCAUCCCCAUAGGAGAAGUUCCCCCAGGUGAAGCUCCAAGGCAUUCAUUCAGCACCUAUGGAGAAAGGACAGAAGACGAGGAACAAGGCUUUGAGCACGGACGAAGGUCUGAUGCUUCUGGGUUCUUCUAUACCUAGCAGCAUUACAAUGAACAAAUGGCAUUCCAAAAGUACGACCACACCUCUCUUGCUCACAAUGAGCAAAAUUGGAAUGACCAGCAUCAGUGGAACCAAACCACCACUCAGACGUUGGCCUCUAUUCAAGAAGGGCAAGACCAAGCUAAUGACACCAUUUUUGGACACGUGUCUUUUAAUGCUUACCUGGGGUUAGUAAAGAAUAGAUCGGCAGAUGAAGCAAUGGUAACUAGUUUACAGGGAAGUUGCCGAUGAAGGUGGUUGCCGAUGAGGAGACAAUUGAAUGUGACUAAGUCCAGAGGUGGUGAUCUGUUCGUGCCGAUGACCAGUAUCAAUUUUUGCCGAUGACUACAAUAGGAGGUCUGCCGAUGGCUCUAAAGAAAAGCGUGGAGAUUGCCAAUUGAUCCGCGGCGGUGCCCCGGUCGGUUACAAGGGGGUAGUUUUAUGUUUCCUUUAGUUAUUAGAAUUCAUUUUGUAUGGGUUCCGU